Molecule: small nuclear RNA, 110 nt
Filed under: Dasypus novemcinctus (nine-banded armadillo)
Lineage: Eukaryota; Metazoa; Chordata; Mammalia; Cingulata; Dasypodidae
Source: RNAcentral
GUGCUCGCCUUCAGCAGCACAUAUAUACUGGGGUUGGGGCGAUACAGAGAAGAUUAGCAUGGCCCCUGCGCAAGGAUGACACACCAAUUCGUGAAGCGUUCCAUAUUUUU